UAAUACCGGAUACGACCUUCCGCCUCAUGGUGGAGGGUGGAAAGUUUUUUCGGUCAGGGAUGGGCUCGCGGCCUAUCAGCUUGUUGGUGGGGUAACGGCCUACCAAGGCGAUUACGGGUAGCCGGCCUGAGAGGGCGACCGGCCACACUGGGACUGAGACACGGCCCAGACUCCUGCGGGAGGCAGCAGUGGGGAAUAUUGCGCAAUGGGCGAAAGCCUGACGCAGCGACGCCGCGUGGGGGAUGACGGCCUUCGGGUUGUAAACCUCUUUUACCACCAACGCAGGCUCCGGGUUCUCUCGGGGUUGACGGUAGGUGGGGAAUAAGGACCGGCUAACUACGUGCCAGCAGCCGCGGUAAUACGUAGGGUCCGAGCGUUGUCCGGAAUUAUUGGGCGUAAAGAGCUCGUAGGCGGCGUGUCGCGUCUGCUGUGAAAGACCGGGGCUUAACUCCGGUUCUGCAGUGGAUACGGGCAUGCUAGAGGUAGGUAGGGGAGACUGGAAUUCCUGGUGUAGCGGUGAAAUGCGCAG
This 529-nucleotide ribosomal RNA is filed under the name Nocardiopsis sp. LP16. RNAcentral's name for it is "bacterial SSU rRNA". It matches the Rfam family "Bacterial small subunit ribosomal RNA", at positions 164 to 693 of the family's 1533-position model. Lineage: Bacteria; Bacillati; Actinomycetota; Actinomycetes; Streptosporangiales; Nocardiopsidaceae. The record is from RNAcentral.